GACGAACGCUGGCGGCGUGCCUAAUACAUGCAAGUCGAACGCAGUGGGGACGGGUGAGUAACACGUGGGUAACCUCCCAUCAGAGGGGAUAACACUUGGAAACAGGUGCUAAACCGAUACUGAUGGAUGGACUCGCGGUGCAUUAGCUAGUUGGUGAGGGAAAGGCGUCCAAAGGCCACGAGGCAUAGCUGACCUGAGAGGUUGUACGGCCACACUGGGACUGAGACACGGCCCAGACUCCUACGGGAGGCAGCAGUGGGGAAUCUUCGGCAAUGGACGAAAGUCGGACCGAGCAACGCCGCGUGAGUGAAGAAGGUUUUCGGAUCGUAAAACGCUGUUGUUAGAGAAGCGGUAUCUAACCAGAAAGCCACGGCUAACUACGUGCCAGCAGCCGCGGUAAUAC
Molecule: ribosomal RNA, 403 nt
Filed under: uncultured bacterium
Lineage: Bacteria
Description: partial 16S ribosomal RNA
Rfam family: Bacterial small subunit ribosomal RNA
Source: RNAcentral